GUGGGUAUGGUCCAGUUGGUUAAGACACCUGGUUGUGGCCCAGGAGGUCGUGAGUUCGAAUCUCACUACUCACCCCA
RNAcentral lists this transfer RNA (77 nucleotides) under Anaerococcus octavius. Its description in RNAcentral is "tRNA-His(gtg)". It matches the Rfam family "tRNA". Rfam says of the family: Transfer RNA (tRNA) molecules are approximately 80 nucleotides in length. The record is from RNAcentral. Lineage: Bacteria; Bacillati; Bacillota; Tissierellia; Tissierellales; Peptoniphilaceae. RNAcentral also lists the same sequence under 1 other name.